GACGAACGCUGGCGGCGUGCUUAACACAUGCAAGUCGAGCGGAAAGGCCCUUCGGGGUACUCGAGCGGCGAACGGGUGAGUAACACGUGGGUAACCUGCCCUUCACUCUGGGAUAACUCCGGGAAACCGGGGGCUAAUACCGGAUACGACCACUUUAGGCAUCUUCGGUGGUGGAAAGUUUUUCGGUGGAGGAUGGACCCGCGGCCUAUCAGCUUGUUGGUGGGGUAAUGGCCUACCAAGGCAGUGACGGGUAGCCGGCCUGAGAGGGCGACCGGCCACACUGGGACUGAGACACGGCCCAGACUCCUACGGGGAGGCAGCAGUGGGGAAUAUUGCGCAAUGGGCGGAAGCCUGACGCAGCGACGCCGCGUGAGGGAUGACGGCCU
This 386-nucleotide ribosomal RNA is filed under the name uncultured bacterium. Its description in RNAcentral is "bacterial SSU rRNA". It matches the Rfam family "Bacterial small subunit ribosomal RNA", at positions 28 to 417 of the family's 1533-position model. The record is from RNAcentral.